This 207-nucleotide ribosomal RNA is filed under the name uncultured bacterium. Its description in RNAcentral is "partial 16S ribosomal RNA". It matches the Rfam family "Bacterial small subunit ribosomal RNA", at positions 568 to 774 of the family's 1533-position model. The record is from RNAcentral.
UGCGUAGGCGGUCGGGUAAGUCUGAUGUGAAAUCUCCGAGCCCAACUCGGAAACUGCAUCGGAUACUACUUGGCUUGAGGAUUGGAGGGGGGAGUGGAAUUCUCGGUGUAGCAGUGAAAUGCGUAGAUAUCGAGAGGAACACCAGUGGCGAAGGCGACUCCCUGGACAAUUCCUGACGCUGAGGCACGAAAGCUAGGGGAGCAAACA